This 426-nucleotide ribosomal RNA is filed under the name uncultured bacterium. RNAcentral describes it as "bacterial SSU rRNA". It matches the Rfam family "Bacterial small subunit ribosomal RNA", at positions 355 to 774 of the family's 1533-position model. The record is from RNAcentral.
UCGAGAAUUUUUCACAAUGGGCGAAAGCCUGAUGGAGCGACGCCGCGUGGGGGAUGAAUGGCUUCGGCCCGUAAACCCCUGUCAUUCGCGAUCAAACCUGGCUAUUUAAAAGAUGGCCAGCUGAUAGUAGCGGAAGAGGAAGGGACGGCUAACUCUGUGCCAGCAGCCGCGGUAAUACAGAGGUCCCAAGCGUUGUUCGGAUUCACUGGGCGUAAAGGGUGCGUAGGUGGUGAGGCAAGUCGGAUGUGAAAGCUCAGAGCUCAACUCCGAAAUGGCAUUGGAAACUGCCGUGCUCGAGGGUCGGAGGGGGGACUGGAAUUCUCGGUGUAGCAGUGAAAUGCGUAGAUAUCGAGAGGAACACCAGUGGCGAAGGCGAGUCCCUGGACGACUCCUGACACUGAGGCACGAAAGCUAGGGGAGCAAACA